Molecule: long non-coding RNA, 530 nt
Filed under: Nicotiana benthamiana
Lineage: Eukaryota; Viridiplantae; Streptophyta; Magnoliopsida; Solanales; Solanaceae
Description: long non-coding RNA (NBEN_LNC016448)
Source: RNAcentral
GAAAGUACGCCUGCCACCUCUGCUUGACUUGAGACUCCCCCAUCAGAAUUCUACCAUCCUCGCCCUUGAUGCACCUAACUUGGCCAAGAUUACACGCCUUCCUUUCCCUUGCUUUAGCUAACCGGAAUAACUGCCUGUCCCCGCCUUUAUCCCUUAAUUCCUUGUACAUGCAACCAAGCGCCGCGUUUUUAGCUUCCGUAACCGCCAGCUUUGCUUCUUUCCUCGCCACCUUGUAGAUCUCCGACCAAACACCGUGUUUUUAGCUUCCGUAACCGCCAACUUUGCUUCUUUCCUCGUCGCCUUGUAGAUCUCCCUGUUCGCUCACCGUUCUUCCUCGCUUGUGCUUCCUGCCAACUUAGCAAACGCCGCCUUCUUCACCCCCACUUUUCCUUCGACUACAUCGUUCCACCACCAAUCACUCUAAUGUAUGCCUGAAUAUCCCUUGGCUACCCCGAGCAUAUCCCGUGAUACCUCCCUAACCAAGUUCGCCAUCUCUGACCACAUAGCGUCCGCUUUCCCAGAACUUCUCC